UACGUAGGGGGCGAGCGUUAUCCGGAUUCACUGGGUGUAAAGGGAGCGUAGACGGCCAUGCAAGCCAGGGGUGAAAGCCCGGGGCCCAACUCCGGGACUGCUUUUGAAACUGUGUGACUGGAGUGCAGGAGAGGUAAGCGGAAUUCCUGGUGUAGCGGUGAAAUGCGUAGAUAUCAGGAGGAACACCAGUGGCGAAGGCGGCUUACUGGACUGUAACUGACGUUGAGGCUCGAAAGCGUGGGGAGCAAACAGG
Molecule: ribosomal RNA, 253 nt
Filed under: uncultured Lachnospiraceae bacterium
Lineage: Bacteria; Bacillati; Bacillota; Clostridia; Lachnospirales; Lachnospiraceae
Description: partial 16S ribosomal RNA
Rfam family: Bacterial small subunit ribosomal RNA
Source: RNAcentral